AUUGAACGCUGGCGGCAGGCCUAACACAUGCAAGUCGAGCGGUAGAGAGAAGCUUGCUUCUCUUGAGAGCGGCGGACGGGUGAGUAAUGCCUAGGAAUCUGCCUGGUAGUGGGGGAUAACGUUCGGAAACGAACGCUAAUACCGCAUACGUCCUACGGGAGAAAGCAGGGGACCUUCGGGCCUUGCGCUAUCAGAUGAGCCUAGGUCGGAUUAGCUAGUUGGUGAGGUAAUGGCUCACCGAGGCGACGAUCCGUAGCUGGUCUGAGAGGAUGAUCAGUCACACUGGAACUGAGACACGGUCCAGACUCCUACGGGAGGCAGCAGUGGGGAAUAUUGGACAAUGGGCGAAAGCCUGAUCCAGCCAUGCCGCGUGUGUGAAGAAGGUCUUCGGAUUGUAAAGCACUUUAAGUUGGGAGGAAGGGCAGUAAGUUAAUACCUUGCUGUUUUGACGUUACCAACAGAAUAAGCA
This 469-nucleotide ribosomal RNA is filed under the name uncultured bacterium. RNAcentral's name for it is "bacterial SSU rRNA". It matches the Rfam family "Bacterial small subunit ribosomal RNA", at positions 30 to 492 of the family's 1533-position model. The record is from RNAcentral.